GGGGGAACCAACUUAGGACACACCCCACUAUAUUGUUCGCCAGAGUACUACAAGCGCUAGCUUAAAACCCAAAGGACUUGGCGGUAUCCCAUACCCACCUAGAGGAGCCUGUUCUAUAACCGAUAAUCCCCGUUCAACCUCACCACUUCUUGCCAUUACCGUCUAUAUACCGCCGUCGUCAGCCCACCCUGUGAAGGACUAAAAGUAAGCAAAAAGAAUAAAACUCCAAAACGUCAGGUCGAGGUGUAGCAAAUGAAGUGGGAAGAAAUGGGCUACAUUUUUUUCCAAAAAUAUACGAAUGGUAAACUGAAAACACACCUAAAGGUGGAUUUAGCAGUAAGAGGAGAUCAGAAUACUCCCCUGAAAUCGGCUCUGGGAUAAGCACACACCGCCCGUUCACCCUCAA
Molecule: ribosomal RNA, 406 nt
Filed under: Carcharhinus falciformis (silky shark)
Lineage: Eukaryota; Metazoa; Chordata; Chondrichthyes; Carcharhiniformes; Carcharhinidae
Description: partial 12S ribosomal RNA
Rfam family: Bacterial small subunit ribosomal RNA
Source: RNAcentral